ACGGAGGGUGCAAGCGUUUAUCGGAUUUACUGGGCGUAAAGCGCACGUAGGUGGUUCGUUAAGUCGGAUGUGAAAUCCCCGGGCUCAACCUGGGACCUGCAUUCGAUACUGGCGGACUUGAGUACGAGAGAGGGGGGUGGAAUUCCAGGUGUAGCGGUGAAAUGCGUAGAUAUCUGGAGGAACACCGGUGGCGAAGGCGGCCCUCUGGCUCGAUACUGACACUGAGGUGCGAAAGCGUGGGGAGCAAACAGGA
Molecule: ribosomal RNA, 253 nt
Filed under: uncultured prokaryote
Description: partial 16S ribosomal RNA
Rfam family: Bacterial small subunit ribosomal RNA
Source: RNAcentral